RNAcentral lists this transfer RNA (69 nucleotides) under Oreolalax multipunctatus (dotted lazy toad). RNAcentral's name for it is "tRNA-His". It matches the Rfam family "tRNA". Rfam says of the family: Transfer RNA (tRNA) molecules are approximately 80 nucleotides in length. The record is from RNAcentral. Lineage: Eukaryota; Metazoa; Chordata; Amphibia; Anura; Megophryidae.
AUAAGUAUAGUUUAAUUAAAACACUAGAUUGUGAUUCUAGAUAUAGAAGUUAAACUCUUCUUACUCAUC